CUAGCCUUACCCAUCCCUGGG
Molecule: microRNA, 21 nt
Filed under: Equus caballus (horse)
Lineage: Eukaryota; Metazoa; Chordata; Mammalia; Perissodactyla; Equidae
Description: eca-miR-8980
Source: miRBase by way of RNAcentral